This 524-nucleotide ribosomal RNA is filed under the name Salmonella enterica subsp. enterica serovar Infantis. RNAcentral's name for it is "partial 23S ribosomal RNA". It matches the Rfam family "Bacterial large subunit ribosomal RNA", at positions 689 to 1211 of the family's 2925-position model. RNAcentral also lists the same sequence under 2 other names. The record is from RNAcentral. Lineage: Bacteria; Pseudomonadati; Pseudomonadota; Gammaproteobacteria; Enterobacterales; Enterobacteriaceae.
UGGGCGUUAAGUUGCAGGGUAUAGACCCGAAACCCGGUGAUCUAGCCAUGGGCAGGUUGAAGGUUGGGUAACACUAACUGGAGGACCGAACCGACUAAUGUUGAAAAAUUAGCGGAUGACCUGUGGCUGGGGGUGAAAGGCCAAUCAAACCGGGAGAUAGCUGGUUCUCCCCGAAAGCUAUUUAGGUAGCGCCUCGUGAAUUCAUCUCCGGGGGUAGAGCACUGUUUCGGCUAGGGGGCCAUCCCGGCUUACCAACCCGAUGCAAACUGCGAAUACCGGAGAAUGUUAUCACGGGAGACACACGGCGGGUGCUAACGUCCGUCGUGAAGAGGGAAACAACCCAGACCGCCAGCUAAGGUCCCAAAGUCAUGGUUAAGUGGGAAACGAUGUGGGAAGGCCCAGACAGCCAGGAUGUUGGCUUAGAAGCAGCCAUCAUUUAAAGAAAGCGUAAUAGCUCACUGGUCGAGUCGGCCUGCGCGGAAGAUGUAACGGGGCUAAACCAUGCACCGAAGCUGCGGCAGCGA